This 473-nucleotide ribosomal RNA is filed under the name uncultured bacterium. RNAcentral's name for it is "bacterial SSU rRNA". It matches the Rfam family "Bacterial small subunit ribosomal RNA", at positions 329 to 794 of the family's 1533-position model. The record is from RNAcentral.
UUCCAGACUCCUACGGGAGGCAGCAGUGGGGAAUAUUGCGCAAUGGGCGAAAGCCUGACGCAGCGACGCCGCGUGAGGGAUGGAGGUCUUCGGAUCGUAAACCUCUGUCAGCAGGGAAGAACGGUCACUGUGCUAAUCAGCAGUGAAUUGACGGUACCUGCAAAGGAAGCACCGGCUAACUACGUGCCAGCAGCCGCGGUAAUACGUAGGGGGCAAGCGUUAUCCGGAUUUACUGGGUGUAAAGGGAGCGUAGACGGCUGUGCAAGUCUGAAGUGAAAGCCCAGGGCUCAACCCUGGGACUGCUUUGGAAACUGUGGAGCUAGAGUGCUGGAGAGGUAAGUGGAAUUCCUAGUGUAGCGGUGAAAUGCGUAGAUAUUAGGAGGAACACCAGUGGCGAAGGCGGCUUACUGGACAGUAACUGACGUUGAGGCUCGAAAGCGUGGGGAGCAAACAGGAUUAGAUACCCCCGUAUA